RNAcentral lists this long non-coding RNA (1805 nucleotides) under Zostera marina. RNAcentral describes it as "long non-coding RNA (ZMAR_LNC004662)". The record is from RNAcentral. Lineage: Eukaryota; Viridiplantae; Streptophyta; Magnoliopsida; Alismatales; Zosteraceae.
GUAAAUCCCUAAAUCUCCCUCAAUCCCUAGUUCUGAAAUCCCCUAGAAGUGAAAUCCCUAAUUCGUCUGUCCCCCUUUCUCUUCUCCAAAUCGGCUUCUCAGGUAAUUAGCUAUCUCUCACGAGUAUCAUACUUAAGGUUAUUUUAUUUCUCGUAUAAAAAAGUCUUAGCCAAUACGAGUUUCUUUCCCGUAUAAAAAUAUUAAAUCUAGUUGUUUUGUUCAGAAAUGUACUAAUCUCAGUAUUUUUAUUUCUUCUUUUGUGUACAGGAAAGAUUUUAUUUUGGGAAUCAUGUGUUACCAUACUUUGAAACAAGGAUAACUCUGCUGAAACAACUUCUUAGCCUUCUUCCUGUUGUCCACAAUGUCAGAUUUUAUUUUGAAAUAUGUUGAUAUUCUUUCUUGUUACAUUGGUUAAAUCAAGAUAGAGAUUCACUUUAUCCAUCUUAUACUAAAUCACAAUUUCAUGUUCAUUCUUUCUUCAUUCAUAUAUAUAUUAAAGCUCAUUCAUUCUUUCUUUAUUUGUUCCAUUUGUUUAAUAUUUGUUCCAAUGUUGACAUCGCAUGCUUUAGAUUUCAACACACGAUCAUCCAAUAUCUGUUCCAAUACUUCAAAAUUAGGGAUCUUCUGCAUCCAGGUUUGUCUGCCAAUUCUUCGACUUUAAAGCAAUCGACAUUUAUCUUUUGAGACUUUCGAUAUACAGAAGUUGUUUCGUUUUGUUUCUUUCUAUCAUGUUGAUUUUUCACCAUUACAAAUGAUCAUGAAUCAUGAUGCUUAACAACCAAUUAUAGGAUUACAUUAAUGAUGUUCAGUUUAAUGAAGAUUUUAAUAAUGUCGUGGGUAUUGCCGUAUUGGUGGUCUAGCACAGAAAUUGGUAAAGUGUGAGAUAGAUAUUGUUUAUCCUUUGGUUUAUUUGCUGAUCAAAUUAGUGUUGAUACGUAGUUUUUCAACAAUGCAUAUCGUUAAAACUCGUCUCAAAAAUCGCAUUGGUGGUAGUUUGAUAAAUGAUUAUUUAGUAACAUAUAUCGAUAAUGAUAUUUUUAAAAAUAUAAACAACGAAAUAAUUUUAAAAAUAUUUAAUGAUAUGUGUUAUCGUCGUAAGAUAUUGAAGUAAUGUUUAAUUAUUUAGAAUUUUUAUUUAAAUUUUUUAUUGUUAAUUGAAUGAAUGUGUUUAUUUUUAAUUUAAAUAUUAAUGAAUGAAGGUAUUUAAUAUUAAUUUUUAUAAGUUUUUAUAAUCGAUUUUAUGAAUUGAUCAUGUCAAAAUUUUAUUUUUAAAAUAGUACAUAAUUUUUUUCCGCCUUAGCCGAAUGUCACCCCCACUACCGGGGAUUCCUGGAUAUACCACUGGUUACUGAACCAUCAUAAGUAGAUCACAGACGAUAUCGUUAAAAAUGUACAAGGAAUAGAAGAGGGUGUGGACGAACUUGGGUCGGAGACAAAGGAGAAGGUGGAAUCAAGAAACGAAGAAGCUAGAGGACACAAAGAUGGUCGAGAUCGUCAUGGACGUAGAGGAAGCCAAUUCAAGGCCGGCGAGAAUAAACAAGACGAGGGCGGCGAUGACCGGUAACUUAGCUAAGCCCUAAUUGUGUUUUCAUCCAACCUACAAGUAAAAAGUCGACUCGGCUGAAGAAGAGACCCUCUCUCGCUAUAGGGCUGGAGGAGAAUAAUGUUGGGCCGCUAAAAGCCCAUUAUCAUUUCUAAAUUAAUUCGUACCUUAUAGGGACACAUUGUAACCCUAACUAGCUAGAGAUCGAACCUUUUGAUUAAUUAAUUAGAAUAAAAUUCAAAAAUGCUCACCAAAACAUUAA